CCCUUAGAUUUUCUGGGCUGCACCCGUGCUACACUGGCAGGUUCAGCGAGCUUCAUGCCCUGAUCUGAAAGGAAUGGGAAAUCUUUUCAAAACCUGCCGUGCUUGGGAUAGAUGUUUGCAAUUAUUCAUCUUCAACGAGGAUUGCCUUGUAAGCGCACGUCAUCAGCGUGCAUUGAAUACGACCCUGUAUUCUGUACACACCGCCCGUCGCUCCUACCGAUUGAAGUUUUCGGUGAGUUGACAGGAGGAUUUUUUUGAAACUGGUUCGCCAGUGGAUUUUAGAUCCAAAUGCCAACGAAUCGAUGGCUUUAGAGGAAGGAGAAGUCGUAACA
RNAcentral lists this ribosomal RNA (332 nucleotides) under uncultured eukaryote. Its description in RNAcentral is "partial 18S ribosomal RNA". It matches the Rfam family "Eukaryotic small subunit ribosomal RNA", at positions 1470 to 1796 of the family's 1831-position model. The record is from RNAcentral.